This 867-nucleotide ribosomal RNA is filed under the name uncultured Lactobacillus sp. RNAcentral's name for it is "bacterial SSU rRNA". It matches the Rfam family "Bacterial small subunit ribosomal RNA", at positions 28 to 853 of the family's 1533-position model. Lineage: Bacteria; Bacillati; Bacillota; Bacilli; Lactobacillales; Lactobacillaceae. The record is from RNAcentral.
GACGAACGCUGGCGGCGUGCCUAAUACAUGCAAGUCGAACGCACUCUCGUUUAGAUUGAAGGAGCUUGCUCCUGAUUGAUAAACAUUUGAGUGAGUGGCGGACGGGUGAGUAACACGUGGGUAACCUGCCCUAAAGUGGGGGAUAACAUUUGGAAACAGAUGCUAAUACCGCAUAAAACCUAACACCGCAUGGUGUAGGGUUGAAAGAUGGUUUCGGCUAUCACUUUAGGAUGGACCCGCGGUGCAUUAGUUAGUUGGUGAGGUAAAGGCUCACCAAGACCGUGAUGCAUAGCCGACCUGAGAGGGUAAUCGGCCACACUGGGACUGAGACACGGCCCAGACUCCUACGGGAGGCAGCAGUAGGGAAUCUUCCACAAUGGACGAAAGUCUGAUGGAGCAACGCCGCGUGAGUGAAGAAGGUUUUUGGAUCGUAAAACUCUGUUGUUGGAGAAGAAUGUAUCUGAUAGUAACUGAUCAGGUAGUGACGGUAUCCAACCAGAAAGCCACGGCUAACUACGUGCCAGCAGCCGCGGUAAUACGUAGGUGGCAAGCGUUGUCCGGAUUUAUUGGGCGUAAAGCGAGCGCAGGCGGUUUCUUAAGUCUGAUGUGAAAGCCUUCGGCUCAACCGAAGAAGUGCAUCGGAAACUGGGAAACUUGAGUGCAGAAGAGGACAGUGGAACUCCAUGUGUAGCGGUGAAAUGCGUAGAUAUAUGGAAGAACACCAGUGGCGAAGGCGGCUGUCUGGUCUGUAACUGACGCUGAGGCUCGAAAGCAUGGGUAGCAAACAGGAUUAGAUACCCUGGUAGUCCAUGCCGUAAACCAUGAGUGCUAGGUGUUGGAGGGUUUCCGCCCUUCAGUGCCGCAGCU